This is a non-coding RNA of Ictidomys tridecemlineatus (thirteen-lined ground squirrel), 3590 nucleotides long. Lineage: Eukaryota; Metazoa; Chordata; Mammalia; Rodentia; Sciuridae. The record is from RefSeq and is a predicted model, not a curated record.
UUAAUCCAUUAUUAGUGUACAGCUGUCACCAUCUCGUCAUUCCAUCUCUGAACAUUCUUGCGUUGUCUCACACGUGAGCUUUUGGGGGAUGCCCAUCUGACAUCCUAAUUUAACUGAUCUGGGGUGGGGCCAGGGAUCAUUUCCUGAAAACCUCCUGAUCUGUGGUCAGCAUGCAGGUGGGGCCGGGUCCUGGUGUGCGGAACGUGUACAGAGGAUCCAGUGAUGAUUCUGGGACUCACCCAGGUCACCUAAGGAGAGUGAGGAGCCACAGUCAACCCCUGUUUGUUUCUGUUUCCUUCUUUGUUUGGCAGGACUAGCGCCAUGUCCCUGCUGCCUAGGAGACUCUCCCUUCACGCUCAUUCUGGCCGACGUGGGGACUUGGUGGGGCCUUGGUGUUCUGCUGGCUGCUGGGGUCAGAAUCGCGAGAAGAUCUCGUCCAUCUGGAGCUGUCUAGGGCUCGUAGACUGCACCUUGGCCACAUUUCCAGCACUCCCUGGUGUAACCACUUGUAGCUUGCUCAGCCAGGCUACAGAAUGCCCCAAUUCUCCACCGUUGCCUGAAGAUCUCUUGAACGCCACUGAUUCAGAAGGAGGAACCAGAGGCCCAUUCUCUGAGGACCAACGGCUGGCUGUGGGGACCUUGUUCAAAGGCAAAAAUCUCGUUAAGGGUGAAAAGGGGAAUAUCUGCUAUAGUUGAAUGCUCACUGUGUGCUAGAUAUUGUGCAAAGCACUUUCCUCUCUAUAAUGGAAAAUAUGAAGGUACGGAGCCAAGGAGAGAAAAGAGAGCCACUUCACCUACAAUGUGGAGAUUAAUUUCUGCCCAAGUACAGUUCAAAAAUGUAAGGAAGGAGAGAAGGGUCACAGAUGAGCAUGAAAGUGAAGAAACAGCAACUUCAGGAACUACUCUGCUGAAGGUGGAGGUGGGGUGGAGGGACGACUAUAGUGACUCACAGGAAGUUCCUUGGGCCUGACAGUAGGGGACUUGUUUCUAGGACGGACUUGAUGGAGGAUGUCAAACAGUUUAGAACGUCCCUCCGUCCCUACGGCAUGCAGAACGCUGAUUUCACCGACAGAGUAGGGGGUGGAGAAGAGCGAGAAGAGAGUUAGAGAACGGUGCUAUCACAGAACUGUUCUGUGCUUGCCAAGGUGCCCACCCACUGAGCCCCUCGUUCAUUCAGCAAACACCGACUGAGACGUCUGCACCAGGCACUGUGGCUGGCACCGCGUCCAGGUGGAUUUUACAGCCAGCAUUCUGCAGGGACUAAGGGAGGAGACAGCCACUGUGGACCCUGAUUGAUCAGACCAGCUCUGUCUGGAUGAGCCACAAAAGCCCUUAGGAGCUACUUGGACGAUGGAUGCUGGUCCUUAUCUGCAAAGAGCUGUCAGUCACAAGGUACCCCAGGGCCGACGGUAUCUCACAAGGGCCCUUCUACCAUCUCAGGGCAAUCAGGUCAAGGAAGCUCCAGAGAAACAUUUAAAAACAAGAAACAGACUGGGACACGCUGACGGCCCUUCCCCUGACACGUGUUCAGAAACUGCCUGAGCUGCCCGUGCUUCAGAUGGUAGUAACAGGACAGGGGCUUUUACUGUUUCCUGACGUAUUCGGGGUGUCCGUAUUGCCUUGUGUUAUUGUUGAGAUAGGAGGUGCCCCCCAGACUCUGUGUGAGACGCUGCAAGAACAUUCAGAGGUAAGAUGAUUGGCUCAUGGGAGCUGUGCCCUAAUCCGUGGAUGGAUCCACAUGAAGGGAUGAAUGGCGGUCAUGACUGUAGGCAGGUGGGGUGUCAUGGUUUGAAUGUGAGGUGUCCCCCAAAAGCUCACCUGUGACACCUGCAGGAGGGUUCAGAGGAGCAAUGAUGGUCGUGAGAGUCUUCACCCUAUCAGUGGUUUGGUCCCCGAGCGGGGUCAACUGAGGGGUGACUGGAGGGGUGGGCACUGGGGUGUGGCUGGGGGGUAUAUAUUUGUAUCUGGAGAGUGGAGUCAGUCUCUCUCUGCUUCCUGAUCACCUUGAAGUGAGCUGCCUCCCUCUGCCACACACUCCGCCAUGAUGCCCAGCCGCGUCUGGAGCCCCGAGGAAUGGAGCCGGCCUUCUGUGGAACAAGAUCUCUGAACUGUGAGCCCUCAGAUAGACCCUUCCCCCUCUAUAACUGUGCUGGUCCGGCCCUUAGUCACAGCACUGGAAAAGCGACUAAAACAGGUGUGGACAGCGGAAGUGGGCACUGGAUCUGUAUUUUGUCCUUGGCGAGUGGCGAUGCCCCGUCCUAGGCACACCCACACCUGGUUGCACAUCCACACCCCUCUGCCACGACGCUCUGCCUCACCCUGGCCCAGAGCGAUGGAGUCCGCCUCCAUGGAGUGAGACCUCUGAAACCAUGAACCCAGAUACACUGUUCCUCCUCCGGGUUGUCCUUGUCAGGUCUUUUGGUCUCAGAGGUGCAGGAGCUGACGGAAACACCUCAGAGCUGAGGGUAUUAGAGUCUGGUAUGUCUGGUAAGUUGUGAUUUGGGGGUCUACAGACCCCAAACUCAAAAGAGCUAGGUUCAAGAAAGUAGAACAGCGACUUUAAUAAAUUAAAGAAUCCCACAGAACAGGUUGCUGACAUCAGGGAUCUGAAGUACCCAGAGGGCAAGUAGCUGUGCCGCCCUGUCGGGGGUGACUCGCAUUCCCUGAAUGCGCGCUGCGCGCCAGCUCCUGUUCCUGGCACCGUGAGUGCAGGCAUGUCCUGACCUUCGAGGUCGAGCGAGGGAGACAGUCUUUUAACAAAUGAUUUCAUUAAUAAAUGUAGGUACAAGGAAAAGUUCAGGGUGCACUGGGAUGGCAGAGAGGGCAGCGAGUCUAGGCCAGAGGUUUCAGGAAGUGACAUUUAAGGUGAAGUUCGCAAAAUGAAUAAGAUCUAGGUGGGUGGGGAGACAGGAGGAGCAUUCCCGUGGAGGAAACAGGACGCAUAAGACCCUGUGGGCCAUGCUGUGGAUUUUGGACUUUCUUUAAGAAUAAGAAGAGGGAGGCAUGAAAGAUCUUUUUAAAACUGGUGAAUUAAACAGAGGAGGCGCGAGUCAACAGGGAUCCUAGGAGAUGAGGAACCGUCUCUGGACAGGGGAGGGGCCAUGGGGAGAAGUGAGCAUGUUCAGGGUACAUUUAGAAAGGAAGAUCUAGGAACUGGGGAGAAAGCGCAUGUGAGGGAGCGAGGGAGAAGGAGUGUGAAAGGUGACUGCCAGGUUUACUGAGAGAUGACAGCGGAAGUCGCGGUACCACUUCCUGCAGAUGAAGACACAUGGUAUUGGGGGUUGGCUUCCGAAGAGGAGGCCAAAAGUCCAGUUUUUGUCAAAGAGACACCCAGCUGCAGAUAUUAGGAAACCAGUUUUAUCUAAAACACAGAGAAAUUAAGCCCAAAAUAUCCCAACAGGGAAGUGCUAGGGAAUGAUAUUGGCCAAAUGAUAUCGUUAUACCAUGUGCAUGUACAAACAUGUAACAACGGACCCCAUGAUUGUGUACGGCUAUAACGCACCCAAAAACACGUGCAAAGAGGAAAAAAAUGGCCUGAAUGGAAUGCCACCAAUAUGGACUCAUCAAAAUACAGACUUUACCACCACGGA